This is a long non-coding RNA of Aethina tumida (small hive beetle), 2711 nucleotides long. RefSeq lists it as uncharacterized. The record is from RefSeq and is a predicted model, not a curated record. The transcript has 5 exons. NCBI's taxonomy places the organism in Eukaryota, Metazoa, Arthropoda, Insecta, Coleoptera, Nitidulidae.
GACACACAUGUCGUGGUUAAAAAACAAUGUAUUUAAUGUAGUGUCUUUUUAAUAGGAUCUAAAACAACUACAUAUGAUAAGAUAUAAUUUUACUUAUUUGUUUUUGUUUGGUUAUUCUCGGUAAAUGACUGGUUUAAUGUAUUUAAUGUCAGCACUCCAGUGUGUGACUUCCGGGCUAGCCAGUGACCAACAAAACAGAAUUCUAAAUGAAAUGUCCCAAGUUAUGAAUAAAUUAAAGGUCAUUGUAGUACAGUAUCCACAAAAACAAACAUUAAGUUAUCGAUACAGAAAAAGUGGCGAUGAAAAAAAUUAAAAUUCUGUUGAAAAAGUAAUAAAUAAAUAUUUGGAAAAAGACAAUUGUACCAAGUGAAAGAAUUUGUUUAUUUUGUGACUAACGAUAAGAGUAAGCAAUAUAUCUAUUAUAAGUAAUAUUAAACACAAUUGAGAAACAAAUUAACCAGAUGUGAUAAUUUUUGUUUAGUGAGUGAGAAAAUAUACCAUAUGUAGAAAUUUACUACACUACUUAAUUGUAGUGCUGGUUCCGCAAGUGUUCCGAAGAGAAGCGUUAUUUAAGGAAUGUCAGGGUAAAUGUGAAGAAGUGACAUCUUUUACCACAAUUUUUUGGGAAUUACUGCACAUUUUCUAAACAACAAUUUAGAAAUUAAACAUGCAGUAUUAGGAUGCGAUCCUACUGAUGAAGGACAUACGGGUAAAGUGCACCAGUGCCCCAGUGCCAGGUGUACCAUGGAAACCACGGAUGUGCCACUCGCCAUCCCCUACGAAAUGGAGAUAACAAAUCUUGUGAUCAUCAUAGAACUUCCGUACAAGCAAGUAAAGGAGUUCAGAACAAGAAUACUGACCUUACAAAAAAAACUCACACAUAAAGUAGCAGCUCACCUCAAACGAGGAAGAAAAUAUAAAAACUGAUGGAACAACACCAGGGGCAAACCCAGAACCAAGAGAUAAUAAUCCACAAACAGAAAGACAAAACCUUGAAGAAAAAGAAGAAUAAAUCCAUAAAAGUCACAAGAAACGAGAAGUGCUUCAUAAAGAUAUGAAAGUUUUAAUCCGAUGAUUGUGUCUCCUUCCUUCCGUCAUUUGAAGAAAAACUGUAUACCUAGGAACAAAAUUUCGAGGUCCCUUCAAGCGAAUCAUUGGCUUCGAUUUCAGUCAUAUUAAAGAUCCUUAAAGGUUCUACUCAACGUCGUCAAAUCUUUAGGCAACUAGGUAUUUCUUCAACAACAGAAAAAGGAACUGGUACGGCGUGAAUGUCUGUAGAUGGCUAAUUCUCCCUGCCAGUCGACUGAUUUCACGGAUGCCUUUUUUUAAGUGUGAAGUGGUGAACCAAGGUUUCAUCUAUAGCUGUGACUGGAUGCAAAAAUUUGGCUUUAUUGUUGUGAAAUUUAGGCAAACUUAGUCAUUGAUGGUCGCCAGAAGCGUAGUGUCCUCAAAAUUGGAGCGUCGUAUGCAUCUUGGAGUACUCUUGUAGCAGCCUUGUACAUUAAGGAUUUUCAUAUUUUUAAUAAUGGAUUCGAUCUGCCUUAAGAUAGUACACUAAAGUAAUUGGAUAUUGGUUAUGCCUUUCUGUGCAUUCAGUUUUCACUUUUUUAUUCCCAGAAGUCUUCUGAUAUAUCCAACUAUAUUUCGCAAUAGUAAACAUGCCACUAUUUCUUGUUUUAGUCUCAGUCGAAGUCCUUUAGCUUGAUUAGAUUUCCAAUCACUUCCGUUUGUAGUCUAAUCACUCUGGUGAUUACAUUUUCAUGUUAGUUACUACUACUACUUUUACAGAUGUACAAUUUGUCAAGAAUAAUAUAAUGUUAUAGGAUAUAAAAUGGGAAACAGCAGAAAGUUUAACAAAAUUUGUACUAUUGUAUUAGAUUACAUACAUUAACGAGUUAAAACAAAAAAAUUUAAUAUAAAAUACAAUAAUACAAUAAAUAUUAGAUUCAUUGUUACAAAACUUUGUAUCCUAUACAUAAAUGGAAUAGGAAAAUCUUCUUUAAGGGGGUUGAUUUUGGAUGGUACGUUUGGUUCGAUAGUAAAAGGAAGUAGAAGAGAUACAUCGUCGACAUCCAAAAUCAACUUAGGUUUAAGAUAUUUUCUACAGUGUCCACAAAGACAAACAUUGUGUUAUCGAUACAGAAAAAGUAGCGAUGAAAAAAAUUAAAAUUCUGUUGAAAAAGUAAUAAAUGAAUAUUUGGAAAAGUGAGUUUAACAUUAAAAAACGUAUUUUUAGUGUUAAAUCUCUCAAAUUCAGAAAAUAAUAGAAAAGAGUUCCCCUUUUUGUUUAUUUUGUGACUAAUGAUAAGAGUAAGCAAUAAAUAUAUUAUAAGUAAUAUUAAUUAUAAUUGAGAAACAAAUAUGCAUCUUCUAAUUAAUUGAUUCUUUAUUAUCUAAUAAAGAGUCAAUUAAAGUCUUUAUAAAUAAAUCAGGGAAUGCUUUAACAAUGUAGUACCUAAUCUUAAUUAAGGCUUAACUAGCGAAGAGAAGCGUUUAACAGUGUCCAUCUCUAGAACAAUUGCAGAAAUAGUGUAUCCUCUGCGGCUGUCAGGAAAAUUUUUUGGAACAAGUACGCAGUCAAAUAAAUCUGCGACAGAAUAUAUUGAGAAGUUACUUAGAAACAUAAAGAAUCUAAAGGCGAGAUUUCACGACAUAAAUAAAAAAAACUAUUGUAUUUAAGGAGUGUCAGAUAUCCAUCAGUUCAUAUAUUU